Molecule: ribosomal RNA, 440 nt
Filed under: uncultured organism
Description: bacterial SSU rRNA
Rfam family: Bacterial small subunit ribosomal RNA
Source: RNAcentral
CAACAAGGAAGUGACGGCUAACUACGUGCCAGCAGCCGCGGUAAAACGUAGGUCACAAGCGUUGUCCGGAAUUACUGGGUGUAAAGGGAGCGCAGGCGGGCGAUCAAGUUGGAAGUGAAAUCCAUGGGCUCAACCCAUGAACUGCUUUCAAAACUGGUCGUCUUGAGUAGUGCAGAGGUAGGCGGAAUUCCCGGUGUAGCGGUGGAAUGCGUAGAUAUCGGGAGGAACACCAGUGGCGAAGGCGGCGUACUGGGCACCAACUGACGCUGAGGCUCGAAAGUGUGGGUAGCAAACAGGAUUAGAUACCCUGGUAGUCCACACCGUAAACGAUGAUUACUAGGUGUUGGGAGAUUGACCCUCUCAGUGCCGCAGUUAACACAAUAAGUAAUCCACCUGGGGAGUACGACCGCAAGGUUGCAACUCAAAGGAAUUGACGGAAU